This 450-nucleotide small RNA is filed under the name uncultured bacterium. RNAcentral's name for it is "bacterial SSU rRNA". It matches the Rfam family "Bacterial small subunit ribosomal RNA", at positions 8 to 462 of the family's 1533-position model. The record is from RNAcentral.
AGAGUUUGAUCAUGGCUCAGAAUGAACGUUGGCGGCGUGGAUUAGGCAUGCAAGUCGAACGGGUCUAGCAAUAGACCAGUGGCGCAAGGGUGAGUAAGGCGACGGUAACCAACCCCAUGGUUGGGUAUAGCCGCGGGAAACUGCGGGUAGUCCCCAGCGACGUAAGAGACCGGCAUCGGUGUUUUACCAAAGCUUCGGCGCCGUGGGACGGGCCAUCGUGGUAUUAGGUAGUUGGCGGGGUAACAGCCCACCAAGCCUGUGAUGCCUACCGGGCGUGCGAGCGUGGCCCGGCACACUGGGACUGAGACACUGCCCAGACUCCUACGGGAGGCUGCAGUCGAGAAUCUUCGGCAAUGGGCGCAAGCCUGACCGAGCGACGCCGCGUGGAGGAUGNAAGGCCUUUCGGGGGUUGUAAACUUCCUGUCCGAAGGGGGGAACGGAAAGGGGCAA